GACCGAGUAAGGUUGAGGUUAGUGGCAACAGCAUGUGUGUGGUUUCCAGGAAACCUUCAGUAAGACUGCUGUUAGCCCUAGCCCCGCACCUUGCCCAGCC
RNAcentral lists this microRNA precursor (100 nucleotides) under Cricetulus griseus (Chinese hamster). Its description in RNAcentral is "mir-744". The record is from RNAcentral. Lineage: Eukaryota; Metazoa; Chordata; Mammalia; Rodentia; Cricetidae.